GCGAUGAAGUUUCUUCGGAAAUGGAUUAGCGGCGAACGGGUGAGGAACACGUGAAGAAUCUGCCCUCCACUUUGGGAUAACACCGGGAAACCGGUGCUAAUACCGAAUAUUGAAACAUAAGUGGCAUCACUGAGUUUUGAAAGAAUUUCGGUGGAGGAUGACUUCGCGGCCUAUCAGCUAGUUGGUGAGGUAAUGGCUCACCAAGGCAACGACGGGUAGCCGGCCUGAGAGGGCGACCGGCCACACUGGGACUGAGACACGGCCCAGACUCCUACGGGAGGCAGCAGUGGGGAAUAUUGGGCAAUGGAGGAAACUCUGACCCAGCGACGCCGCGUGCGGGAUGAAGGCCUUCGGGUUGUAAACCGCUUUCAGUAGGGAAGAAGCGAAAGUGACGGUACCUACAAAAGAAGCACCGGCUAACUAUGUGC
RNAcentral lists this ribosomal RNA (428 nucleotides) under uncultured Actinomycetes bacterium. RNAcentral's name for it is "bacterial SSU rRNA". It matches the Rfam family "Bacterial small subunit ribosomal RNA", at positions 66 to 508 of the family's 1533-position model. Lineage: Bacteria; Bacillati; Actinomycetota; Actinomycetes. The record is from RNAcentral.